RNAcentral lists this ribosomal RNA (496 nucleotides) under uncultured bacterium. Its description in RNAcentral is "partial 16S ribosomal RNA". It matches the Rfam family "Bacterial small subunit ribosomal RNA", at positions 28 to 506 of the family's 1533-position model. The record is from RNAcentral.
GAUGAACGCUGGCGGCGUGCCUAAUACAUGCAAGUCGAGCGAACAGACGAGGAGCUUGCUCCUCUGACGUUAGCGGCGGACGGGUGAGUAACACGUGGAUAACCUACCUAUAAGACUGGGAUAACUUCGGGAAACCGGAGCUAAUACCGGAUAAUAUAUUGAACCGCAUGGUUCAAUAGUGAAAGACGGUUUUGCUGUCACUUAUAGAUGGAUCCGCGCCGCAUUAGCUAGUUGGUAAGGUAACGGCUUACCAAGGCAACGAUGCGUAGCCGACCUGAGAGGGGGACCGGCCACACUGGAACGGAGCCCGGGUCCAGACCCCUACGGGAGGCAGGAGGAGGGAAUCUUCCGCAAGGGGCGAAAGCCUGACGGAGCAACGCCGCGUGGGUGAUGAAGGUUUUCGGGUUGUAAAACUCUGUUAUUAGGGAAGAAAAAAUGUGUAAGUAACUAUGCACGUCUUGACGGUACCUAAUCAGAAAGCCACGGCUAACUACGU